UGAAUCAGUAUGUGUGUUAGUGGAAGCGUCUGGAAAGGCGCGCGAUACAGGGUGACAGCCCCGUACACAAAAAUGCACAUGCUGUGAGCUCGAUGAGUAGGGCGGGACACGUGGUAUCCUGUCUGAAUAUGGGGGGACCAUCCUCCAAGGCUAAAUACUCCUGACUGACCGAUAGUGAACCAGUACCGUGAGGGAAAGGCGAAAAGAACCCCGGCGAGGGGAGUGAAAAAGAACCUGAAACCGUGUACGUACAAGCAGUGGGAGCACGCUUAGGCGUGUGACUGCGUACCUUUUGUAUAAUGGGUCAGCGACUUAUAUUCUGUAGCAAGGUUAACCGAAUAGGGGAGCCGAAGGGAAACCGAGUCUUAACUGGGCGUUAAGUUGCAGGGUAUAGACCCGAAACCCGGUGAUCUAGCCAUGGGCAGGUUGAAGGUUGGGUAACACUAACUGGAGGACCGAACCGACUAAUGUUGAAAAAUUAGCGGAUGACUUGUGGCUGGGGGUGAAAGGCCAAUCAAACCGGGAGAUAGCUGGUUCUCCCCGAAAGCUAUUUAGGUAGCGCCUCGUGAAUUCAUCUCCGGGGGUAGAGCACUGUUUCGGCAAGGGGGUCAUCCCGACUUACCAACCCGAUGCAAACUGCGAAUACCGGAGAAUGUUAUCACGGGAGACACACGGCGGGUGCUAACGUCCGUCGUGAAGAGGGAAACAACCCAGACCGCCAGCUAAGGUCCCAAAGUCAUGGUUAAGUGGGAAACGAUGUGGGAAGGCCCAGACAGCCAGGAUGUUGGCUUAGAAGCAGCCAUCAUUUAAAGAAAGCGUAAUAGCUCACUGGUCGAGUCGGCCUGCGCGGAAGAUGUAACGGGGCUAAACCAUGCACCGAAGCUGCGGCAGCGACGCUGAUGCGUUGUUGGGUAGGGGAGCGUUCUGUAAGCCUGCGAAGGUGUGCUGUGAGGCAUGCUGGAGGUAUCAGAAGUGCGAAUGCUGACAUAAGUAACGAUAAAGCGGGUGAAAAGCCCGCUCGCCGGAAGACCAAGGGUUCCUGUCCAACGUUAAUCGGGGCAGGGUGAGUCGACCCCUAAGGCGAGGCCGAAAGGCGUAGUCGAUGGGAAACAGGUUAAUAUUCCUGUACUUGGUGUUACUGCGAAGGGGGGACGGAGAAGGCUAUGUUGGCCGGGCGACGGUUGUCCCGGUUUAAGCGUGUAGGCUGGUUUUCCAGGCAAAUCCGGAAAAUCAAGGCUGAGGCGUGAUGACGAGGCACUGCGGUGCUGAAGCAACAAAUGCCCUGCUUCCAGGAAAAGCCUCUAAGCAUCAGGUAACAUCAAAUCGUACCCCAAACCGACACAGGUGGUCAGGUAGAGAAUACCAAGGCGCUUGAGAGAACUCGGGUGAAGGAACUAGGCAAAAUGGUGCCGUAACUUCGGGAGAAGGCACGCUGAUAUGUAGGUGAAGUCCCUCGCGGAUGGAGCUGAAAUCAGUCGAAGAUACCAGCUGGCUGCAACUGUUUAUUAAAAACACAGCACUGUGCAAACACGAAAGUGGACGUAUACGGUGUGACGCCUGCCCGGUGCCGGAAGGUUAAUUGAUGGGGU
This 1589-nucleotide ribosomal RNA is filed under the name Escherichia coli. RNAcentral describes it as "partial 23S ribosomal RNA". It matches the Rfam family "Bacterial large subunit ribosomal RNA", at positions 313 to 1890 of the family's 2925-position model. Lineage: Bacteria; Pseudomonadati; Pseudomonadota; Gammaproteobacteria; Enterobacterales; Enterobacteriaceae. The record is from RNAcentral.